UUGUGCCUGCUCUCCGAAAGGGAGGAGUCAGGCACAGGGAAAGGGCAGCUGGAGCUCCGCACUUCAAAUCUUAUUUACCCGAGAAACUCUGCAUUACAGUCUUUGUGAUAAACAUUUAGGAGUUUCACGAGUUGCUUUACUUUUGUGUUAGGCUUUAGGUAUGCAGGCAAAGAUUGCGCGCUAGUUCAGUGCUGGUUUGCCCCUGCCAAGAGCACGUAGGAAAAAGAAAAAAAAAAGUAAGACGACUGAAAAAAGACAAGUCCACAGAGCAGUUUUGGAUUUUAAAGUGAAGACGCUAAGAGUGUCUGUCUGCAACUAGCAUCUGCACGCGAGCGAGAAGAAAGUCUGUGAGGACAGGACAGAAAAGUUUCGCGACUGAACGAGUAUCCUGUCUUGAUGAGGUACUGAGGAAUGCACAGUUGUCAUGGAAACCCAGACCAGUUCUGCAGCAGAGAAGAAGAAGAAAGUGGAGACCACUGUAGCCACCAAGAGCACACCUACCCGUGCAGAAAUCAGUGAAAAGGCUGUGGCCUCCAGCACUACCUCCAAUGAGGAUGACAGUUCAGGUUCCCCAUAUCAUCAUGAAAGGCGUAAUGCCAUCAGUGGGCAGGCUGCUAUUCUGGGCGUUUCAGGAAAACUAAGUGAGGAACCAUCCACCUCUACAGAAGACCACCCCCCAUUAGUGAAGAAAGAGCUUCACAGCU
Cyprinus carpio (common carp) is the source of this 704-nucleotide long non-coding RNA. RefSeq lists it as uncharacterized. The record is from RefSeq and is a predicted model, not a curated record. NCBI's taxonomy places the organism in Eukaryota, Metazoa, Chordata, Actinopteri, Cypriniformes, Cyprinidae. The transcript is spliced from 3 exons.